GCUUGCAAACUGAAGAUGGCGACCGGCGCACGGGUGAGUAACACGUAUCCAACCUGCCGAUAACUCCGGGAUAGCCUUUCGAAAGAAAGAUUAAUACCGGAUGGCAUACGAAUAUCGCAUGAUAUUUUUAUUAAAGAAUUUCGGUUAUCGAUGGGGAUGCGUUCCAUUAGUUUGUUGGCGGGGUAACGGCCCACCAAGACUACGAUGGAUAGGGGUUCUGAGAGGAAGGUCCCCCACAUUGGAACUGAGACACGGUCCAAACUCCUACGGGAGGCAGCAGUGAGGAAUAUUGGUCAAUGGGCGAGAGCCUGAACCAGCCAAGUAGCGUGAAGGAUGAAGGCUCUAUGGGUCGUAAACUUCUUUUAUAUGGGAAUAAAGUUUUCCACGUGUGGAAUUUUGUAUGUACCAUAUGAAUAAGGAUCGGCUAACUCCGUGCCAGCAGCCGCGGUAAUACGGAGGAUCCGAGCGUUAUCCGGAUUUAUUGGGUUUAAAGGGAGCGUAGGUGGAUUGUUAAGUCAGUUGUGAAAGUUUGCGGCUCAACCGUAAAAUUGCAGUUGAAACUGGCAGUCUUGAGUACAGUAGAGGUGGGCGGAAUUCGUGGUGUAGCGGUGAAAUGCUUAGAUAUCACGAAGAACUCCGAUUGCGAAGGCAGCUCACUAGACUGUUACU
This 669-nucleotide ribosomal RNA is filed under the name uncultured Bacteroidales bacterium. RNAcentral describes it as "bacterial SSU rRNA". It matches the Rfam family "Bacterial small subunit ribosomal RNA", at positions 78 to 741 of the family's 1533-position model. The record is from RNAcentral. Lineage: Bacteria; Pseudomonadati; Bacteroidota; Bacteroidia; Bacteroidales.